UACGUAGGGUGCGAGCGUUGUCCGGAAUUACUGGGCGUAAAGAGCUCGUAGGUGGUUUGUCGCGUUGUUCGUGAAAACCGGGGGCUUAACCCUCGGCGUGCGGGCGAUACGGGCAGACUGGAGUACUGCAGGGGAGACUGGAAUUCCUGGUGUAGCGGUGGAAUGCGCAGAUAUCAGGAGGAACACCGGUGGCGAAGGCGGGUCUCUGGGCCGAUACUGACGCUGAGGAGCGAAAGCGUGGGGAGCAAACAGG
This 253-nucleotide ribosomal RNA is filed under the name uncultured bacterium. RNAcentral's name for it is "partial 16S ribosomal RNA". It matches the Rfam family "Bacterial small subunit ribosomal RNA", at positions 524 to 776 of the family's 1533-position model. The record is from RNAcentral.